Molecule: ribosomal RNA, 943 nt
Filed under: Pseudomonas fluorescens
Lineage: Bacteria; Pseudomonadati; Pseudomonadota; Gammaproteobacteria; Pseudomonadales; Pseudomonadaceae
Description: bacterial SSU rRNA
Rfam family: Bacterial small subunit ribosomal RNA
Source: RNAcentral
GCGGACGGGUGAGUAAUGCCUAGGAAUCUGCCUGGUAGUGGGGGAUAACGUUCGGAAACGGACGCUAAUACCGCAUACGUCCUACGGGAGAAAGCAGGGGACCUUCGGGCCUUGCGCUAUCAGAUGAGCCUAGGUCGGAUUAGCUAGUUGGUGAGGUAAUGGCUCACCAAGGCGACGAUCCGUAACUGGUCUGAGAGGAUGAUCAGUCACACUGGAACUGAGACACGGUCCAGACUCCUACGGGAGGCAGCAGUGGGGAAUAUUGGACAAUGGGCGAAAGCCUGAUCCAGCCAUGCCGCGUGUGUGAAGAAGGUCUUCGGAUUGUAAAGCACUUUAAGUUGGGAGGAAGGGUUGUAGAUUAAUACUCUGCAAUUUUGACGUUACCGACAGAAUAAGCACCGGCUAACUCUGUGCCAGCAGCCGCGGUAAUACAGAGGGUGCAAGCGUUAAUCGGAAUUACUGGGCGUAAAGCGCGCGUAGGUGGUUUGUUAAGUUGGAUGUGAAAUCCCCGGGCUCAACCUGGGAACUGCAUUCAAAACUGACUGACUAGAGUAUGGUAGAGGGUGGGUGGAAUUUCCUGUGUAGCGGUGAAAUGCGUAGAUAUAGGAAGGAACACCAGUGGCGAAGGCGACCACCUGGACUAAUACUGACACUGAGGUGCGAAAGCGUGGGGAGCAAACAGGAUUAGAUACCCUGGUAGUCCACGCCGUAAACGAUGUCAACUAGCCGUUGGAAGCCUUGAGCUUUUAGUGGCGCAGCUAACGCAUUAAGUUGACCGCCUGGGGAGUACGGCCGCAAGGUUAAAACUCAAAUGAAUUGACGGGGGCCCGCACAACCGGUGGAGCAUGUGGUUUAAUUCGAAGCAACGCGAAGAACCUUACCAGGCCUUGACUUCCAAUGAACUUUCUAAAAAUAGAUUGGUGCCUUCCGGAACAUUGAGACA